UGAGGAAUAUUGGUCAAUGGGCGAGAGCCUGAACCAGCCAAGUAGCGUGCAGGAUGACGGACCUAUGGGUUGUAAACUGCUUUUAUGUGGGGAUAAAGUGCGUGACGUGUCAUGCAUUGCAGGUACCACAUGAAUAAGGACCGGCUAAUUCCGUGCCAGCAGCCGCGGUAAUACGGAAGGUCCGGGCGUUAUCCGGAUUUAUUGGGUUUAAAGGGAGCGUAGGCUGUCUAUUAAGCGUGUUGUGAAAUUUACCGGCUCAACCGGUGGCUUGCAGCGCGAACUGGUCGACUUUAGUAGGCAGGAAGUAGGCCGAAUUCAUGGUGUAGCGGUGAAAUGCUUAGAUAACAUGACGAACUCCUAUUGCGCAGGCAGCUUACUGUAGCAUAACUGACGCUGAUGAUCGAAAGUGCGGGUAUCAAACAGG
Molecule: ribosomal RNA, 424 nt
Filed under: Verrucomicrobiota bacterium
Lineage: Bacteria; Pseudomonadati; Verrucomicrobiota
Description: Verrucomicrobia bacterium partial 16S ribosomal RNA
Rfam family: Bacterial small subunit ribosomal RNA
Source: RNAcentral